Molecule: ribosomal RNA, 467 nt
Filed under: uncultured bacterium
Lineage: Bacteria
Description: bacterial SSU rRNA
Rfam family: Bacterial small subunit ribosomal RNA
Source: RNAcentral
GAUGAACGCUGGCGGCGUGCUUAACACAUGCAAGUCGAACGGAUUUAACAGAAAGCUUGCUUUCGGUUAAAUUAGUGGCGGACGGGUGAGUAACGCGUGGAUAACCUGCCGUAUACAGGGGGAUAACACUUAGAAAUAGGUGCUAAUACCGCAUAAGCGCACAGUUUCGCAUGAGACAGUGUGAAAAACUCCGGUGGUAUACGAUGGAUCCGCGUCUGAUUAGGUAGUUGGUGGGGUAACGGCUUACCAAGGCGACGAUCAGUAGCCGACCUGAGAGGUUGAACGGCCACAUUGGGACUGAGACACGGCCCAGACUCCUACGGGAGGCAGCAGUGGGGAAUAUUGCGCAAUGGGGGCAACCCUGACGCAGCAACGCCGCGUGAAGGAAGAAGGUCUUCGGAUUGAAACUUUUGUCUUUGGUGAAGAUAGUGACGGUAGCCAAGGAGGAAGCCACGGCUAACUACGUG